AUACGGAGGAUCCGAGCGUUAUCCGGAUUUAUUGGGUUUAAAGGGUGCGUAGGUGGUUUGAUAAGUCAGCGGUGAAAGUUUGCAGCUUAACUGUAAAAAUGCCGUUGAAACUGUCGGACUUGAGUGUAAAUGAGGUAGGCGGAAUGCGUGGUGUAGCGGUGAAAUGCAUAGAUAUCACGCAGAACUCCGAUUGCGAAGGCAGCUUACUAAGUUACAACUGACACUGAAGCACGAAAGCGUGGGGAUCAAACAGGAUUAGAUACCCUGGUAGUCCACGCAGUAAACGAUGAUUACUAGCUGUUUGCGAUACACAGUAAGCGGCACAGCGAAAGCGUUAAGUAAUCCACCUGGGGAGUACGCCGGCAACGGUGAAACUCAAAGGAAUUGACGGGG
RNAcentral lists this ribosomal RNA (393 nucleotides) under uncultured bacterium. RNAcentral describes it as "partial 16S ribosomal RNA". It matches the Rfam family "Bacterial small subunit ribosomal RNA", at positions 523 to 918 of the family's 1533-position model. The record is from RNAcentral.